CCAGUAGCGGGGGAUAACUACGCGAAAGCGUAGCUAAUACCGCAUACGCCCUACGGGGGAARGGGGGGGAUCGCAAGACCUCUCACUAUUGGAGCGGCCGAUGUCGGAUUAGCUAGUUGGKGGGGUAAAGGCCUACCAAGGCGACGAUCCGUAGYUGGUUUGARAGGACGACCAGCCACACUGGGACUGARACACGGCCCARACUCCUACGGGAGGCAGCAGUGGGGAAUUUUGGACAAUGGGGGCAACCCUGAUCCAGCCAUGCCGCGKGUGCRAARAAGGCCUUCGGGUUGUAAAGCACUUUUGGCAGGAAARAAACGGCGCCGGAUAAUACCUGGCGUAACUGACGGUACCUGCARAAUAAGCACCGGCUAACUACGUGCCAGCAGCCGCGGUAAUACGUAGGGUGCAAGCGUUAAUCGGAAUUACUGGGCGUAAAGCGUGCGCAGGCGGUUCGGAAAGAAAAGAUGUGAAAUCCCAGGGCUCAACCUUGGAACUGCAUUUUUAACUCCCGAACUAGAGURUGUCAGAGGGGGGUGGAAUUUCCACGUGUAGCAGUGAAAUGCGUAGAUAUGUGGAGGAACACCGAUGGCGAAGGCAGCCCCCUGGGAUAAUACUGACGCUCAUGCACGAAAGCGUGGGGAGCAAACAGGAUUAGAUACCCUGGUAGUCCACGCCCUAAACGAUGUCAACUAGCUGUUGGGUUCUUCGGAGCUUGGUAGCGCAGCUAACGCGUGAAGUUGACCGCCUGGGGGAGUACGGUCGCAAGAUUAAAACUCAAAGGAAUUGACGGGGACCCCGCACAAGCGGUGGGAUGAAUGUGGAUUAAUUCGAAUGCAACGGCGAAAAACCUUACCUACCCUUGAAACGUCUGGCAAUCCUGAACAGAUUUAGGAGUGCUCGAAAGAGAACCGGAACACAGGUGCUGCAUGGCCGUCGUCAGCUCGUGUCGUGAGAUGUUGGGUUAAGUCCCGCAACGAGCGCAACCCUUGUCAUUAGUUGCUACGAAAGGGCACUCUAAUGAGACUGCCGGUGACAAACCGGAGGAAGGUGGGGAUGACGUCAGGUCCUCAUGGCCCUUAUGGGUAGGGCUUCACACGUCAUACAAUGGUCGGGACAGAGGGCAGCCAACCCGCGAGGGGGAGCCAAUCCCAGAAACCCGAUCGUAGUCCGGAUUGCAGUCUGCAACUCGACUGCAUGAAGUCGGAAUCGCUAGUAAUCGCGGAUCAGCAUGUCGCGGUGAAUACGUUCCCGGGUCUUGUACACKCCGCCCGUCACACCAUGGGAGUGGGUUCUACCAGAAGUAGGU
RNAcentral lists this ribosomal RNA (1309 nucleotides) under Pigmentiphaga sp. ECPB08. RNAcentral describes it as "bacterial SSU rRNA". It matches the Rfam family "Bacterial small subunit ribosomal RNA", at positions 130 to 1431 of the family's 1533-position model. Lineage: Bacteria; Pseudomonadati; Pseudomonadota; Betaproteobacteria; Burkholderiales; Alcaligenaceae. The record is from RNAcentral.